UACUCCUACGGGAGGCAGCAGUGAGGAAUAUUGCUCAAUGGCCGCAAGGCUGAAGCAGCAACGCCGCGUGAGGGAUGAAGGAUCUAUGGCCUGUAAACCUCUGUAGAUAAGGAAAAAUAAUCCAUUAAAUGGAGAUGAUAGUACUUAUAGAGUAAGCCCCGGCUAACUACGUGCCAGCAGCCGCGGUAAUA
RNAcentral lists this ribosomal RNA (191 nucleotides) under uncultured Ignavibacterium sp. RNAcentral's name for it is "partial 16S ribosomal RNA". It matches the Rfam family "Bacterial small subunit ribosomal RNA", at positions 334 to 525 of the family's 1533-position model. Lineage: Bacteria; Pseudomonadati; Ignavibacteriota; Ignavibacteria; Ignavibacteriales; Ignavibacteriaceae. The record is from RNAcentral.